Mytilus californianus (California mussel) is the source of this 1198-nucleotide long non-coding RNA. RefSeq lists it as uncharacterized. Lineage: Eukaryota; Metazoa; Mollusca; Bivalvia; Mytilida; Mytilidae. The record is from RefSeq and is a predicted model, not a curated record. The transcript has 3 exons.
GAAAACUCCAGGUUUGACUGAAGCUGAGUUUAUAUGAAAAAAAGUGUUUUAUCAAACGUAAAUAACCCAACGAGAUUUAAAUUAACUCUUCUAAUAAUGAAAUACGGUUUAUUAAAUUUGACAUUUUCACAAUAUCAUGGUAGACGCCAUCUGUAAGUACUCUUCUAAUAAAAGACAGAUUCGGUGCCAAUUAUUCUCGUUGUUUAUUGUUUCAAACCGAUAAGCCCCGAAGGUCUCGUGACGUCACACAGUCUGUUUGGUACUGAAGCAGUGUGGAUAAACAUAUCAUUAAAAUAUUUUUUUACUUCGCUAUAAUUAAACACGAUUCGCUGAAUAUUUCAAUAAAGAUGCCGUCUUGCCAAGCAUUUAAUUGUACUAACGAAAAGGGGAAGUGUACAAAAAGUUUUUUCGUUAUCCCUGAUCCUUCAAAAAGUGCAGAUAAAAAAAAACUUUGCAAACAAUGGAUCUCGAACUUGAAAAAUGGUAAACUGCAAAUAGAAAAUUUUAAAUAUAACAGUAGCAAGGUUGUUUGUGAAGACCAUUUCACGCCCGAUUCAUUCGAGAGAAACCUGGUCAAAGAAUCUUUGAACUUCUUACCAAAAAGAAAAUAUUUGCGACAAAAUGCAGUACCGACAAUUGUCAACACAGGAAUGGACACCAGAAAAACACAGGAACGAUCGACCAAUUCUACACAAAAACGUCGAAGUGCACAGGUUAAAGAAGAGAUUAAGUUGUCAAUUAAAAAAAGAAAAGCGGCAACAUGUUCUACACCAUCAGUCAGUUCAGAGACUUUGACCUUACAUGAUCAGGUCGAGGAAGAGACCAAGCUGUCUAUUGAAAAACCAAAAGCGGCAACAUGUUCUACACCUUCAGUCAGUUCAUCUGUAACGCCCACAACUCACGACGUAUUUAUUACAGACGAACGUUCACCUAAUCUGACCCAGUCAAUGGGAUAUUUUAGCGCGCCAAUCAAUGGUCUCGUCUACACUGUUUUGCACAUGAUUCUAUUGUGUCUAACAGCUAGUAUAAAAUGGAAAACAGUAACUAAGAAUUACGAUACUCUUAUUAUAAAUAUAUAAACAUUACAAAGAAUUCUAUAGUAAAUAUCUCUUUUCAAGAUAAUGGAAAACCAAUCUUUCUGAAAGGUGUUGGUGUUUGUGUUUGUUUCUUAGAGACGAAGUAAUAAAUAGAUACCCCU